AAAACAAAUCAAUAUCAUUAAUCAUUUUCUAUAGCGUUGAUAAUACAAAUCAUUGAUUUCAUAAUCUUCUAAUUGAUGUUGCAAUCAAUAUCAUUUAUAUUACAUAAAGCAGUAUCACCAACGUUCAAGGUCCCACAUAGCUUGGUAGGAUCCAUAAACUGGAUUAAAAAAUACUUACUUCUUAAUAGAUAUCCCAAAUCACAUUUGUAAUUGACAUAUAUUGAAUUCAGGACACAUUAACGAGUCUUCCAUUACAGUCGUGAAAACAGAAGAAAAAUGGUGGGAAUGAAAUAAUUUAUAUUGACGUAGCAACUUUGAUGAGGUUUCAAUUUAUUAUAAUUUAUAUGUAAUCCUUUUACAUAUUUUCCAUAUUAUGUUAAGAUAUUGUUUGGAAUAAAAUGCACAAUUAUUUCAUACGAUGGAUAUAUUUCAAAUUAUUUUGUGAUAAUGUGGAAUCGAUGUGUGUGAUUAGAUGCACGGUAUAUGAAAUCUUUGAACAUGUAUCACUUGAAGUCAAAUGUCAAUUUAAUGUGAAUAUGUUAUAUUGGCACAAUUAUGUAUAGGCUUAUGUGUACAUAGUACAUGUAUGUGGUAUCAUUGAAUCGCUAUGUCGCAAAUUGAUAUUCUUGGAGAAUUUCGUAUACAGGUUCACAUGUAAAUAUACAUCAUUGAAAGUAAAUUUACAUGUAUCAUUGAACCGUUGUGUGGCGUUUCGAUAUCCCAGUAGGAUGUCCAAAUAUUAAGAUGUAUUAAAUUAAAAUGGUUAAUAUAAAAAAUACUGAAAAAGGGGUCAUCUAUUUUACAUUCAUUUUCAAUUCGGUAUAUUAUGUCAACAUUCAAAAAUUGGAUAUCAAUUGUUACGUGACAAAUGCUUCAGUGGCCGGGUGUGUGCAUGAUUUUCUCCCAAAAUUAAACAUAAGAAUUUCAUCUGCGGCGUAAAACACAAAUGUACAUUUAGAACUCGAUGCAAAAUGGCAUAUCCAGAUUUAUCAAAUCAGACAAAGCGAGCAAACAUGACUUAACAAACAUUACUAAUUGAAAACUGUCAUAAAAUUAACAUCACACCAACAUCCUAAAAAAAUCAAAACAAGCCAUUCAAGAAAAACAUCGGGGAAAAACUAUUCCCAAGCAAUACUAAUUGAAAUCUGCCACAAGAAUAGCGUCACACCAAUGUACUAAAAACAUCAAAACAAACUAUUCCCACAAAAUUAUCUACAAAUCAAUGGAAUAAAUAAUAUCAAGAAAUUGAUUUUGUGGAAUAAUGAAAGGGAUUUCGAUGCUUAAAAUCUGUAUAAUAUUAAAUUUUGGUGUGAUUUUUGGUAUUUCUUGAGUUGAGAUGAUAUGGGAGGAAUGUGAAUGGACACCAAUUUGGAGAUUAUUACAUUUUGUUAGGGGCUUGUUUGGGGGAGCACUUGAUUUAAUACGUGUGUGAGUUGUUAAAAUUUAACAGUUUUCAGUUUACAGUAAUAAUUCAGUAUUUAUGGGGAAAAAUAAGAUGACAUUUAAUAUUUGAAUAUUAAUUAAAUAACAGUUACUUGGUGCAAUUUCCUCUGAAAACAUCCCAAAAAAAUCUCAUAGCCCAGCCCAAAUUGCCACAGACAGUGCCCAUGGGCAAAUGAGUCCAACUUCCACUGCCAUUCAGGUGUCCAUAGGUGGUCUUGAUGAAGAAGAGUACACGUUUUAUAAAUUUUUUUCGAUGAAACAUUCUUUGAUAAUUUAGAUUGCUUAAUAAGCCAAAAAUAGAAAUACCGUAGUUUAG
This 1759-nucleotide long non-coding RNA is filed under the name Olea europaea (common olive). RNAcentral describes it as "long non-coding RNA (OEUR_LNC011178)". The record is from RNAcentral. Lineage: Eukaryota; Viridiplantae; Streptophyta; Magnoliopsida; Lamiales; Oleaceae.